RNAcentral lists this ribosomal RNA (451 nucleotides) under uncultured bacterium. Its description in RNAcentral is "partial 16S ribosomal RNA". It matches the Rfam family "Bacterial small subunit ribosomal RNA", at positions 28 to 507 of the family's 1533-position model. The record is from RNAcentral.
GAUGAACGCUGGCGGCGUACCUAACACAUGCAAGUCGAGCGGCAGCGAGGGGUGCUUGCACCCUGUCGGCGAGCGGCGGACGGCUGAGUAACGCGUGGGAACGUGCCCCAAAGUGAGGAAUAACUGCCCGAAAGGGUAGCUAAUACCGCAUAUUAUCUUCGGAUCAAAGGAUUUAUCCGCUUUGGGAGCGGCUCGCGUCGGAUUAGGUAGUUGGUGAGGUAAUGGCUCACCAAGCCGACGAUCCGUAGCUGGUCUGAGAGGAUGACCAGCCAGACUGGAACUGAGACACGGUCCAGACUCCUACGGGAGGCAGCAGUGAGGAAUCUUCCACAAUGGGCGAAAGCCUGAUGGAGCAACGCCGCGUGCAGGACGAAGGCCUUCGGGUUGUAAACUGCUUUUAUAAGUGAGGAAUAUGACGGUAACUUAUGAAUAAGGAUCGGCUAACUACGUG